RNAcentral lists this ribosomal RNA (249 nucleotides) under Salmonella enterica subsp. enterica serovar Kentucky. Its description in RNAcentral is "partial 23S ribosomal RNA". It matches the Rfam family "Bacterial large subunit ribosomal RNA", at positions 1194 to 1439 of the family's 2925-position model. The record is from RNAcentral. Lineage: Bacteria; Pseudomonadati; Pseudomonadota; Gammaproteobacteria; Enterobacterales; Enterobacteriaceae.
CCGAAGCUGCGGCAGCGACGCUGAUACGUUCGUUGGGUAGGGGAGCGUUCUGUAAGCCUGUGAAGGUGUGUCGUGAGGCAUGCUGGAGGUAUCAGAAGUGCGAAUGCUGACAUAAGUAACGAUAAAGCGGGUGAAAAGCCCGCUCGCCGGAAGACCAAGGGUUCCUGUCCAACGUUAAUCGGGGCAGGGUGAGUCGACCCCUAAGGCGAGGCCGAAAGGCGUAGUCGAUGGGAAACAGGUUAAUAUUCC